This 549-nucleotide ribosomal RNA is filed under the name uncultured bacterium. Its description in RNAcentral is "bacterial SSU rRNA". It matches the Rfam family "Bacterial small subunit ribosomal RNA", at positions 355 to 896 of the family's 1533-position model. The record is from RNAcentral.
UGGGGAAUAUUGCACAAUGGGCGCAAGCCUGAUGCAGCCAUGCCGCGUGUGUGAAGAAGGCCUUCGGGUUGUAAAGCACUUUCAGCGGGGAGGAAGGCGUUAAGGUUAAUAACCUUGGCGAUUGACGUUACCCGCAGAAGAAGCACCGGCUAACUCCGUGCCAGCAGCCGUGGUAAUACGGAGGGUGCAAGCGUUAAUCGGAAUUACUGGGCGUAAAGCGCACGCAGGCGGUCUGUCAAGUCGGAUGUGAAAUCCCCGGGCUCAACCUGGGAACUGCAUUCGAAACUGGCAGGCUAGAGUCUUGUAGAGGGGGGUAGAAUUCCAGGUGUAGCGGUGAAAUGCGUAGAGAUCUGGAGGAAUACCGGUGGCGAAGGCGGCCCCCUGGACAAAGACUGACGCUCAGGUGCGAAAGCGUGGGGAGCAAACAGGAUUAGAUACCCUGGUAGUCCACGCCGUAAACGAUGUCGAUUUGGAGGUUGUGCCCUUGAGGCGUGGCUUCCGGAGCUAACGCGUUAAAUCGACCGCCUGGGGAGUACGGCCGCAAGGUUA